UACGGAGGGGACUAGCGUUGUUCGGAAUUACUGGGCGUAAAGCGCACGUAGGCGGAUUUGUAAGUCAGGGGUGAAAUCCCGGGGCUCAACCUCGGAACUGCCUUUGAUACUGCAAAUCUCGAGUCCGGAAGAGGUGAGUGGAAUUCCUAGUGUAGAGGUGAAAUUCGUAGAUAUUAGGAAGAACACCAGUGGCGAAGGCGGCUCACUGGUCCGGUACUGACGCUGAGGUGCGAAGGCGUGGGGAGCACACAGG
Molecule: ribosomal RNA, 253 nt
Filed under: uncultured bacterium
Lineage: Bacteria
Description: partial 16S ribosomal RNA
Rfam family: Bacterial small subunit ribosomal RNA
Source: RNAcentral